Molecule: transfer RNA, 69 nt
Filed under: Pimephales tenellus (slim minnow)
Lineage: Eukaryota; Metazoa; Chordata; Actinopteri; Cypriniformes; Leuciscidae
Description: tRNA-Arg
Rfam family: tRNA
About the family: Transfer RNA (tRNA) molecules are approximately 80 nucleotides in length. Their secondary structure includes four short double-helical elements and three loops (D, anti-codon, and T loops).
Source: RNAcentral
AGGGAGCUAGUCUAAAAAAGACCUCUGAUUUCGGCUCAGAAAAUUAUGGUUUAAGUCCAUGGCCCCCUU